RNAcentral lists this ribosomal RNA (376 nucleotides) under uncultured bacterium. RNAcentral's name for it is "bacterial SSU rRNA". It matches the Rfam family "Bacterial small subunit ribosomal RNA", at positions 28 to 404 of the family's 1533-position model. The record is from RNAcentral.
GAUAAACGCUGGCGGCGUGCAUGAGACAUGCAAGUCGAACGGACGAUCAGGGCUUGCUCUGGUCGUUAGUGGCGGACGGCUGAGUAACGCGUAGGUGACCUGCCCCGAAGUGGGGAAGUAACUGCCCGAAAGGGUAGGCUAAUACCGCAUGUGGUGGUGCCUUCAUGGGCACCAGUAAAGCCGCAAGGCGCUUCGGGAGGGGCCUGCGUCCGAUUAGCUCGUUGGUGGGGAACGGCUCACCAAGGCGACGAUCGGUAGGUGGUCUGAGAGGACGAUCACCCAGACUGGGACUGAGACACGGCCCAGACUCCUACGGGAGGCAGCAGUCGGGAAUUUUGCGCAAUGGACGAAAGUCUGACGCAGCAACGCCGCGUGA